Molecule: long non-coding RNA, 2849 nt
Organism: Sycon ciliatum
Lineage: Eukaryota; Metazoa; Porifera; Calcarea; Leucosolenida; Sycettidae
Exons: 3
Source: RefSeq, a predicted model, not a curated record
UCGUGUACAUUUCUUCGUUUCUUCUUUGCUGUUUUCAGUGAGUGUUUUGUUUUCUCUUUGUCCUUGAUCUCGACGGUGUUGUCGUGCUCAUUACCUUACUGAGACGUCUCUUGUGACUGUAGCCAGUGUCACGGAGGAUUUUAUUGGCGUGACGAGGUAGAUCGCUGAGAUCGAGCGUGAAAAACGCUCUGCACUAGUAGCUCAUGUAGAAUGUCUUCUGGGAUGGCGUAUCCAUGGUCAACAAAGCCAAGGUGCAAGACAGCAUAAGAGAUCGUGUAAACGAUGUGAACUCCAAAAGAUAAUCUGGACAAAUAAAUUAUAUUGUAACUGGAGAGUGCAAUCGUGAUUGGGACCCAUCCCAAUGUCAUCACAUGGCUGUGGUGACUAGUGUAUACCUGGGAGAGUUUUUCCUCAACUGAGAUGGAGUGCACAUGUACAUGUAGGUGGAUGGAUUAUGAGAAAUGCGAAGAUGUGGAGUUCAAGGCUAGAUGCACUUCACAUUCGGCGUGCGAUCUCGGCGUCUGGGCCUGAUAACGUCUUGGUUGGAUGGGUAAUCAAGGAUGAUGCUACUGGGCACACCAAUGUACAUGUCAAUGUAAUUUUUACUUUUUCAGAGCUGCACUAUUUACGUCUCGAUGCUUACUACGGUGCUAGCGUGUUUCCCCUGGAUUAUUUCUUUCAUCAUGCGUGUUCUUGGGCUGAGCAAGCAAAUGCAUGAGUGUGCAGCUAUAACCCUGUGUAUCUUUGGUUUCACUUUGUUCUGCAAUGCAUGUACAUGUUGUACCUUGUAAGUUGUAACCAUGGUAGCAGUACUGAUGUGCUUGCACUGCUUCGUGUGGCCUGCGUAUUUCAGGACUAUUCAGUGCAUUAGACCCAGGUUGGUUUGGUUGCCGGAUGAUCUCUUGUUGCGUCGCUCUGUGUUUUGUAUUCAUCAUUUUUUUGGGCUUGAGCUGGUGUGCGACUUUGUACAUGAUGUACCUCACUACAACUUACAGUGCGUUUUUUUAUAAUAGACUCUGAAAACCUUGAGAACGUACUCAAGGACACUUUUGAGAAAAUGUCAUGCGAGUUGCGUCACGAAAAUCUGCGCGCGAAAUUCGAAAAACCAGGUGCGACUCGUGGCAUUUCGCCAUCUUGUUCAGAGUGUCCUUCGAGCUCCUUGCCUCGUGGCCGGAGGAAUCAUUUUGUUGCUGACUGCACUGCUCUGUGGCCCUAUUUUGCUUUUUCUCGAGUGUCUUUUCGUUCGUGGCAACUUGUUCUCUUGACAUGCCACAUAAUUAUAACAAAACGCGAACGGGCCAUGGUACAUGGUGGUGUCUGUUUUACAAUUUUUUGCGAAGACGAGGAGAACAAUGGCUGGGCAUCGAAUUGGUCCCAAGUAUUCCAUUCGUCAUGCUGCUGUUGCGUGUGGCGUCAGCAUUUCCACCAUGAACAGAUGAACCAGGGAUGCUGACGGCGAAAAUCAGCGUGCUGCGUUGGCCAGUGAUGAAGGCAACGAGAGUGACAAUCCCCGAUGUGAGACUCGUGCCAUGAAACCACUCAACCCUGACGGAUUUGCUUUGGACUGUAUAAGAAGUAAUUUACGGAUUCUAUGCUGCGAAGGAGGACCCAACACUGGACAAAGUUCCUGCUCGCUGCAGAGAAAGCAUCGACGAUUUUCCAGACAUGAGCAAAACUAGCUCUUGGGAAAAUGUUGCGUUCCAUGGGAUUCCAGUGUGGCAAGACCAGAGGUAUCACACAAAUAAUGAUGGAACAGCACAGGAUUGUGUCAUGGCGGCAUCGCUACCUGUGAGACAUACCUGGAUGAGACGUGGGUCAAUGCGCGUCACACAGUUACCAGGAGGUGGUACGACAAUGGUGACAGGAGUGUAUAGGCAAGCAACCAAAUGAAGCACCAUCAGGUAAAGGCAAGCGCGUUAUUGUUCUGCAUACUGGUGGACGGGACAGAUUCGUGAAAAACUGCGCCGAUGUGUUCGUGACUGGAGGCCGGCGCCAACGAUGAUAUACGUCGUCGGCUGUCCGAGCACAUCUGUUCACUGUGUAAUACUGUCGUCACAAGUGCAACACAAAACACGGAAUUAUUGGGGCCGUUUCGUUCCUCGCUGGUCUUCUACUAUUCGCACAUGUUGACCCAGACAAAACUGUGACUUAUUUGCAUUGUGUGUGUGUGUGUGUGUGUGUUUGUGUGUUUGUAAAACUGCUCAUGCUUCCUUUUUGUUAGUCUCUUUAUGGGAGCUGUGUGAAUUGCCUUUGUGAUUUGUUGUGGUGUUUGAAUUUUCACUGCAUUCUUUCAGGGAUCGAGGGAAGUUUCCUACAUGCAUGCUGGAAUGUUUUGAUUUAUUGAGCUAAUUGCAAUGCAGGAUUUGAAUUAUUCAGUACAGUUUGCCACAAUAAGUCGUGAAAAGCCACGACUCACUGGUUUCCUACAACGGUUAGGAGAAUUGCAGACAGCAGUGCACAACUGCACAGCCAUGUGCAUGUACAUGUACAUGCAUGCGCUGUACUACAGUAUACCUAAAAAGAAAAAAAAGAAUCAAGAUGAACUGUACUGGAUUCGAACUCAUGCCGGGCACCAUGCAAGUGAUGGGCUUUCCUGGCUAAAACUUCCGUUUUAAAAAUCAAAAUCCACUGAAAACCAUUUAAAACCGGAUUUCUAGCCGAAACCCGGCCGAAUAUCUAACUUUGACAAUUAUUAUUAUUCCCACUCCCAAACUUAAUUUUCUUCGAUCCAACACCCACACAAACGUAGCUGUGAAGAAAAAAUUUCAAAUUUGGAAUGAGAACAAACUAAAAAAUCAAAAUCGACAAUGGUCUGUUAUAAAAAAACGCACUGUAGUACAAGUCAAGUG